GGUCUGCAACUGACGCUGAGGCUCGAAAGCAUGGGUAGCGAACAGGAUUAGAUACCUGGUAGUCCAUGCCGUAAACGAUGAGUGCUAGGUGUUGGAGGGUUUCCGCCCUUCAGUGCCGGAGCUAACGCAUUAAGCACUCCGCCUGGGGAGUACGACCGCAAGGUUGAAACUCAAAGGAAUUGACGGGGGCCCGCACAAGCGGUGGAGCAUGUGGUUUAAUUCGAAGCUACGCGAAGAACCUUACCAGGUCUUGACAUCUUGCGCUAACCUAAGAGAUUAGGCGUUCCCUUCGGGGACGCAAUGACAGGUGGUGCAUGGUCGUCGUCAGCUCGUGUCGUGAGAUGUUGGGUUAAGUCCCGCAACGAGCGCAACCCUUGUUACUAGUUGCCAGCAUUUAGUUGGGCACUCUAGUGAGACUGCCGGUGACAAACCGGAGGAAGGUGGGGACGACGUCAGAUCAUCAUGCCCCUUAUGACCUGGGCUACACACGUGCUACAAUGGACGGUACAACGAGUUGCGAACUCGCGAGAGUAAGCUAAUCUCUUAAAGCCGUUCUCAGUUCGGACUGUAGGCUGCAACUCGCCUACACGAAGUCGGAAUCGCUAGUAAUCGCGGAUCAGCAUGCCGCGGUGAAUACGUUCCCGGGCCUUGUACACACCGCCCGUCACACCAUGGAAGUUUGCAAUGCCCCAAGUCGGUGGCCUAACCAUUGG
This 713-nucleotide ribosomal RNA is filed under the name Limosilactobacillus vaginalis. RNAcentral describes it as "bacterial SSU rRNA". It matches the Rfam family "Bacterial small subunit ribosomal RNA", at positions 731 to 1445 of the family's 1533-position model. Lineage: Bacteria; Bacillati; Bacillota; Bacilli; Lactobacillales; Lactobacillaceae. The record is from RNAcentral.